CCUACGGGUGGCAGCAGUCGAGAAUCAUUCACAAUGGGGGAAACCCUGAUGGUGCGACGCCGCGUGGGGGAAUGAAGGUCUUCGGAUUGUAAACCCCUGUCAUGUGGGAGCAAAUUAAAAAGAUAGUACCACAAGAGGAAGAGACGGCUAACUCUGUGCCAGCAGCCGCGGUAAUACAGAGGUCUCAAGCGUUGUUCGGAAUCACUGGGCGUAAAGGGUGCGUAGGCUGUUUCGUAAGUCGUGUGUGAAAGGCGCGGGCUCAACCCGCGGACGGCACAGGAUCCUGCGAGACUAGAGUAAUGGAGGGGGAACCGGAAUUCUCGGUGUAGCAGUGAAAUGCGUAGAUAUCGAGAGGAACACUCGUGGCGAAGGCGGGUUCCUGGACAUUAACUGACGCUGAGGCACGAAGGCCAGGGGAGCGAAAGGGAUUAGAUACCCCUGUAGUC
This 446-nucleotide ribosomal RNA is filed under the name uncultured bacterium. RNAcentral's name for it is "partial 16S ribosomal RNA". It matches the Rfam family "Bacterial small subunit ribosomal RNA", at positions 338 to 795 of the family's 1533-position model. The record is from RNAcentral.